GUCAGCCUGGUAAGCAUGUUUUGAACAUCUGUCUUACAGCUAAGGCUAGAUUAUAGUGGCAGCAAAGUGGUUGAGUGUCGAUAGCUGAUAUAUUUAACUGGUUCCAAACCUCGAUAUCUGUUCGAGCAUCGAUACUCCGCCCCUCAUUUUCACCUCUAUCUCAACUUAUCCGAAGACAACAUGAUUUCAUGUAAUGAAGAACACUGCCAUGCAGUAGUAACCGCCGUCACUACUGAGAAAUAUCGACUGGAAAGGGUUAAAGCACGUGAAUUGCUGAUUAUAUUGAUGAAGUGAAACUGGAGAACUGUUAAUAUGACAAGCCUUGUGCAAAACAAAUCCAACCCUCAACAUUUGUAGUCUUCAUGCUACGCUGAAAAAAUUUCAUUAACAACUUAUUUUUAAAAUCUGAAUCAAAAUGUAGUUUAGUUACGCAAAAUUUUAUUUAUCAAUUCAAAGAUGUGUUACUGUUUUUUCCUAACCACCUGCUGUUGCAGUGUCUAAAAUAACUAUUAUUGAUUUUUCUCUUUUUAAUGCUAAAACUAUGAGAUUCUUUACGUUUAAUAAUCUACAAUAACACAUCUGUGAAUAGAACGACAGUUUUCUUUUCAACAUAACAUUUAUAUGUUUUUAAUGACAAUAUGUGGCAAACACCACAGAGUAAGUUCCUAGCAAAUAGAGUCUGCAACAUGGUUUUCAUUCCCGUUAGUAACAAUUUCACUUGAUCUUCCAUCGCUAAAGUAUUUGAGGCAUGAACGUCACACAACUUCUUUCUCACCUCCAUGAAUCCGAAGUCCUGUGCAAUGACAACACACAUUAUGCGACUCUAUAAAGUUGGACUUAAGUUUUUUAUCUCUAUGUCGCGAUAGAAGGAACUGUUUUCGAUUAAAUAUAUUUUUAUAAUACAUCGACGGAAAGGAAGGAUAAACAGUGACAGUCUGGAGGACAUCAAGAAACUGUUGAGUCGAUACCUUAAGCUCCAUUUAUUUUAAAGGAAGGAAAAGAAAGAAUAACAUCAACAUAUCCGUCAAAAAACAACAAACAAAAACACAUCUUCGUUGAUGUCGAUACAGUGAACUUGUAAAUUCUUUAAUCAUAACUAACGAAAAUGAAACUUAUUUAAUUUCUUCUUCCCAGUCUUUAUAUCACUGGAGACAGAACUAUAUCCCAUAACAAUUAAAUUUAAAUUGUAUGCAUUUUCGGACACGAAGUGUUUGUUUAAAUACAUUUUGUAAACAAUCGAAGCUCAAAGGAUUCUUGCGGUGGAAUGAAUGAAAGAAAAAAAAAGUAUUAUGUAUUAAUAUAUAUGUCUAUACAGAUGUAUAACUAUGACAAUCAGGAAUCUAUCGAAAGUUUUAAACGUCACCUGUAAUAGUAAUGAAUUUGAAACGAUUAAUAAGUGAAGAACUAAAAAAAAUUCAGAAGAUAGCUGAAUACGACAGGUUCUUGUUGCAUGUGGAGAGUAUCUUAACUCUUCCUUUCUCUUUGAUGGCAGAAUAUAUUUUUGAACAAAAUAUAUAUACUUAAUAUAUAUUACUCACCUCAUUUUAAUCAGUUUCUAUGUAAAAAAAAAAAAAGAAAGAGAAAAUUCGUGAAGAAUACGAUAAAUUACAACAGAAUGAAAUUUCUCUUCGCUGAGAAGAUUGUUUAUACAAGUCAAAUUUUCCUUGAAACUUUUACCCUGAAACCAGAGAUGUUUAUAGCACACAUUAGAAUAUAAUGAAUAAAUAAGGAAAAUAUAUUAAACUUUAGUACGAAAAUAAAUCUAUAAUAAAGAAUGCUGGCAUUCAGCAAUGCAGUAAGAUUGUUACAGUUGGAAUAUAGGCUAGCCGAGCUAAUAUUCUAUUGUAGACUUGUUUCGAGGCUACGCACGCCGGGUCGAGUAUUCAGAAGAUGGCGGGUGUUUUGUUUGAAGAUAUUUUCGACGUAAAGGAUCUUGAUCCCGAUGGCAAGAAAUUCGACAGAGUCAGCCGCUUAUUCUGUGAAUCUGAAUCUUUCAAGAUGUAUCUUAUCUUGGAUGUCAAUACACAGACGUAUCCAGUGGAACUUGGUGACAAGUUUCGGAUGGUGAUAGCUACAACUUUACGUGAAGAUGGCUAUCCUGAUGAUGGGGAAUAUUCACCUGUUGAUAGUGGCCCAACCCGAGCAGACAGCUUUGAAUAUGUUAUGUAUGGAAAGGUUUAUAAAUUGGAAGGUGAUGAGACCGGCGCUGACUCUGGAAGACUGUCUGCAUAUGUGUCUUUUGGAGGUCUGCUGAUGAGGCUACAAGGAGACGCCAACAAUCUACACGGUUUUGAAGUUGAUUCCCACGUCUACCUUUUAAUGAAGAAGCUGGCAUUUUAAGAAAACUGAUAAUUGCAUGAACACACUGACAGACACAUACAUGUAACAUUCAUCUAUAAAUUCACCCUAUAUAUAUCCCCAUACAUGCACACACACAAAUGACUUGACAUGCCCAAAAUUUCAUGUCAAGGCACUUAUUGAUCACAAAUCAUUAUCUCUUUGAAUUACAUGUAUACACAUUCUCAGGAAUCACACACACACACACACACUAGAAGUGCACACUUUUAAAUACACAUACAUGCUUCUCUACAUAACCAUAUAAUUUAUAAGCUCAUAACAUUAACACAGAAAAUGUCUUAAAAUAAAUACAUACAAUAAACGCUACAUGCUUUAAACAUAACAUAUACAUAGCAUACACAAAGCAUAUAGAUACCUUAAACAUAGCCUCUAUACAUACUACAAACACAUACAGAUGCCUUAAACACACCAUAUACACAUCAUAAAUAUCAAAAAUUUCUAUUUUUCCAAUCUUUGUAAGAUUUGUUUUUUAAAUAAAGAUCACUGCCACUUUUGAAAUUACUUUGUAA
RNAcentral lists this unclassified non-coding RNA (2867 nucleotides) under Octopus sinensis (East Asian common octopus). Its description in RNAcentral is "dNA-directed RNA polymerases I, II, and III subunit RPABC3, transcript variant X1". Lineage: Eukaryota; Metazoa; Mollusca; Cephalopoda; Octopoda; Octopodidae. The record is from RNAcentral.